AUGUUGAUUAAUACAUAUAAAGAAAAGGAUCAUGUCAGCUGAAUCUUAGAUUUCUCAUUUUCUUCUCUGCUAUUAGAACAUGAUAUUUUCUGAUUGACUUAAAAUCUGUCAUAGGAAGUGCAUCAUAUCUUGUUGAAGAUUAAUUCUAAGCCUCUGGGAACAUCUGAUGUAAAUCACAGUUUAAGCUUCCAACCCAGAUGUUAUUGAUGGCUUUGGCCCCUUACCAGUUAGAAGAGGAAAAAGUGAGAUAGGGUGUGUGCACCAGCAAAGUUUUCAUAGAUGCCAAUUCAAGGGAAACAAAAGCUUGAGAAAGCAUGAGCAGACAAAUGUGCAGGCAUUGAUCAAGAUUCAAGACAAAAUGUUAUGAGGAGAGCACAGCUAAUCCUUACUCCUGAAAUACAUUGUUUCUUCAAAGGUGCAGAAUUUCGUAAAACAUUUAUCCAUUGGACUAUAUUAGCCAGCCAAGAACUUCAUGCAUAAAUUUCAUUCAAACUCACCUGUCUCAUUGAGCUUCAGCAAAAGCUGUUCCCUUGUUGGAAGAGUAUACAUUCCAGCAGAAACAGCAGUCCUGAUAGCCCAUGUGUGGUAUGGGGCACACACUUGAGCAUAAGCUGUUGAAGCUGCUUCCCUUAAAGAGUAAUCCCUAGAAUUCAGAAAGAAAAACCGAAGCAUUAGAUGACAGGAUUACAAGGAGAAUUACUUGCUUGUAACAAAAGAACAUGUAGCUCUCCAAGAAGAAGACCUAAACUAAUGAGGCAAACAGAAAACAGACUUUUCUUUUCGAUUACAUUGAUUAGGUUAUCACCAAUGCUACAAACAGUUGCAUCGCAGAUAGACUAUGAAAUUGCAAUAAAAAAAAAGCAGUCACAGAUAGAUCAUCCAUGAUGCAUGAAAAUCAGUCAUUGAUGUCUAAGAAAUGCAUGUUCUUAUAUACUAAA
Theobroma cacao (cacao) is the source of this 938-nucleotide non-coding RNA. The record is from RefSeq and is a predicted model, not a curated record. Lineage: Eukaryota; Viridiplantae; Streptophyta; Magnoliopsida; Malvales; Malvaceae.